This 1929-nucleotide long non-coding RNA is filed under the name Zostera marina. RNAcentral's name for it is "long non-coding RNA (ZMAR_LNC001943)". Lineage: Eukaryota; Viridiplantae; Streptophyta; Magnoliopsida; Alismatales; Zosteraceae. The record is from RNAcentral.
UUACAUACGGUGGCAAAAUAUGAGUGUGCGUUGUAUCCCCCACGGUCAUAUCUGCGCUUUGUGAUAUCAUCCCUCUCCUUCGUGUCCGAUGUUCCUCUGGCUUCUUUGGUGGUCAUCAUAGUAUCCACCUCUGUCCGAAGGUGCUCUGCUUGAGCUGUAAUACCCAGAUGGACUGUCAGUUGUUGUGUGAUAGCAUUGGUGAUGUCCUUUGUCCUGCAUGCUUUGAUUUGUAAUUUGGGUAAUCAGUUGGGUGAGCUGGUCUCGAUUUAUUAUCAUGUUUUUAUUUUCUUCCUCAACUUGAUUAAUUCUCUGUCCUUCCUUCGUUUUUUGAUGUAGCAAGGUAGUUCUUACCUUUGUCAUUCUUUCUUGUUGUUGUUGUUGUUGAAUUUUCUUUCGUAUAUGGGGUGUCCUUCUGGGAACCCAUAGAUGAAAUAGCAACUAUCCAUUACAUGUCAUUUUUUCUUGAAGCUUGUCAAUAUUUUCCCCCAAAAUCUGAUGUCCUUUCCUUGCUCCUCUCAUUUAAUUUGUUUUGUAAUUGGUUUUGCGCUUUUGUACCAUUAGCGUUGUGGAUUCACUAACGGUGGAGUUUGUGUCAUUACCGACACUACUUUGAUGUUCUUCCUGGAUUAACAUUUGAUAUGUUCUGUCUAACUCUGGUAGUAAACUCAUUAUAAGUAUCAUUCUUCUUACUUGAGUGUAAGAUUUACGAAGGCCCUCGAAGAAACCUAUGAGCUUGACUACUUCUUCUUGUCCUGCGGUACAUGCAUAACAAUGACAUGGUACGUUUUCUCCGUAUGCCUUUAAGGAAUCCCAAAUGCUUUCUAUUCGGGUGUAGUAGAUGACUAUGCUAUAAUCCCCUUGCUCACAUUUUGCUAAGUCCCUACGUAGUUGAAAUCUUAUAAGUCCAUUGGUGUUGUUGUAUCUUCUCUUGAGAUUGUUCCAGUACACACUCGUGUGCAUCUAGUAUAUGAAGUUUGGUGCUAUGAUCGUGUCCAAAGCUUUUGUGAUCCAGUCGAUCACGAGAUAUCGUUGCAUCUGCUCCAUUGAUAGUACUUUGGGUCAAUUUCUGGUGGUUCCAUUGAUAAAACUCAAUUUAUUCUUUAUUGACAUGGCUCUUCGCAUGUGGACAACCCAUACUCGAUAGUUUAGUCUAUUCGUCUUGAUCUCUGUCAUCUGCAAGGUGGGAUUGUCGCCUCUGACCAAGAAGAAAGGAUUGUCCAAUUGCACAGACUCAUCAUCUGUCUGUUUCGAUUUGUAGAAUGGAUUUUCAAAUUCGUUCUUCUCCAUUGAUCUCAGUCAUUUCCCAAAGAUCUGACGCCCACGCUCGUUCCGCUCACUUCGAUGGUAGAAGAUAUGGAAUUGCAAACUCGAAGGUCGUUCGUGGUUGUCGUUCUGGAGUUUUUAGGUGUUGCGUCGUUGGACGUGUCGUCGAAGAUUGUUGUCGAAGAUCGAAGAUUGGAAAUUGGAGUCGUCGUGAGGAAUUUUCGAAGAUUAGAGUUAUUGUUGAAGGUUUGGGUCAUUUUUCGAUCUGAUGUGUUCUGUACGCCUGGUUCCUCUUCUCAUUCAUGUAAGAUUUUAACACUGCUCUGAUACCAUGAUAAUUGGAUGAAGAUGAUUCCUUUAUUGUUGUUAACUUACUUGAUACAAAAUAGGUAGCCAGAUGUAGUUAGAUAUCUGAUGAUGAGUUGUGGAAAACGUCGAUGACCUACGGACGAAGACUGUACAAUGACUUGUACUCCACCGUAUAUAGACACGAAUAUAUAAACCGACGGUAAUCGUCGAAAGGUGUCUAAGGUAGAGUACUUUGGUUUAAUGUGAAAAAAGUAAUAUAAGUGGAUGUUGGACUGUUUGAGAACUUGAAAUGAAAAUGUUGAAGAUGAGUUUAAAGAUGAUGUAUAAUGGAUGUAGCUGUAACGGAAAGAUGAGAUC